Long non-coding RNA from Salvator merianae (Argentine black and white tegu), 3941 nucleotides. Lineage: Eukaryota; Metazoa; Chordata; Lepidosauria; Squamata; Teiidae. The record is from Ensembl.
CACGGUUGCAAGAGACUUUUUCCCGCAGGAGAUGCGCUGGCUGCGCAGAAAACAGCUGGAGCGGAGCAGUGGAGGAAUGUGCGGACUCCGGAACCGCCUCUGUGCAACGCGUUCUCUGAAGAUGAGUCCCUGGCAGGAACAAUGAAUGUACUGUCUGCUCCCCAACUGGAGAGACCAAGCCGCCUCAAGGACCACUGUGACUAUCUACUUGACUCUAUUGAUGCCCAGCUCAGCCAGCUACAGGUCGAGAGAUGGAAGUCAAAAAUCCUGGAUAAUAGCAAUGAUGAGGGAACUUCUCUUGGUGGGGCUGUUGGCGUUUCUUCUUCAGCAGGUUUGGGAAGACAUGCUGAGGACAGGGAUGACCGUGCCUCCUUGCAGUAUGACUGGUCCUCUUGGGAGGGAGAAAGUACUCGGUGGCUGCCGGACACAGGGGCCGACACAGGGGAACGUAGCCAAUCAGAGUCUGUCUGCACAGAAGACUUUGCGGCCAAGUUUAANGAAGGCCUCGUGGACCCGUUGAGCUCUGAGGAAGAAGGCAGCAUCAUCUACGGCAGCGUCGAGCCUCCAAAGGGUCAGGCCAAGAAUGACUCUGCGUUGCUUGGAACUGGCUCGGUGGGUUCAGUAGGCAAGGAAGCUCUAGCCCGGUUGCUGUUGGAGGANUCUAAGCAGAGACGUGACCCAGCUUUGUCUCACAGGUCAAGAGAGUCUCCGUCCCUCGGUAUCCAGCACCGAAUGAGGAAUCCCGAGUCUUUAAGAGACAAUGUUUUGGGACAGCUUAACCAGAGGUGCAGCAUCUGGUCCAGCCCCACAGAUGCCCCAAGAGAAAGGUUUCUUCAGCACGGCUCCCUGAAUUUUGGGGAGACACCUGUGGGUUUGGAAAUGGGUAGCUCCCGGACAAAUCUCUUCCUGGAGCCUCAGCAGGGAAGAAACUGUCUGGAGGACUCCUCUGAAAUGACCCAGGGUCCUCGUAAAAACUGCAGCAAGCCACUGCUCCUUCAAGACUUGGGGCCUUCAAAGCCAUUCCCUGAUGCUGACGAUGUCUCCACCAGCACGGGGGCCACCAGUGGUGAAACCUGGCCCAAGACACUGGGACCCAGGCAUCCUAAGGAUGGUUCAUGUCUUUGCUCCCUCGGGACAUCCCAGAAAAGCUGUUUGGGGCCCUCUGAUACAGAGAGAAGGGAUAAGUUGAUCACAUGUGGGCGCUUUUAUCCUCUGGUCACCAGGGGCACUGGCCAAAUGGAAGCACCGUCUCACUCAGAGCUUGGAAGGAACAUUGAUUCACUUGGCACCCCCAGGGAUGCCCCUGCCGCCAUGAUCCCCAAGAAGGUCCACUUGCCACCACAAAGGGACGCUGUGAGCAGUGAAGAGGAGGAGGAGGAAGAGGGGGCAGCAUUUGCUGAGCAGGGCUUCACCAGUGACUGCACCCAGAGAACCAGCGAUCUCAAGCAACUGACUGCAAGCAGGACAGCAUAUCCCAGCUGGAAAGGAACUGAACUGGAGAAUUACAAAAGUCAGGAGGACUUGGAACUGGAAGAGGAAAAGUUGCUGCAGAAGAAGGCCCUAAUCCAUGAAGAAGAGCUGUCCCUGCAGCGCAUGCUACGACAGAAAGAGUUUGUGGCUCUGGAACUGCAGACCUUCCAGGAGGCCCUGGAGAAGAGCCAGAAUGAAGCAAGGAGGCUACAGCUGCACGUGGAAGAGAGCCAGAGAAAAGUGGAUGAGGCCAGGGUGAACCAGGCGCUGCUGGAAUUCAAGCGAGAAGCCUCUCUUAGGGAGCUGCUGGAGCUGGAGAAGGACCUGAAUUUGCGGAGAAGACAGUGUGGUCAAUAUGUCGCCUCCCAGGCAGAGGUUUCUCAGCUGGUGAAAGAACGGGAGCAGCUGAGGAACCAAGUGCGACANCUUGAGGACACCCUAUCUUCCCUGCAGCACCAGACGAGGGCCUCUGAAAUGGACGCAGUCCCUCAGAAGGAGACAAUUGGUGUUGGGACUGAGGACUGGCAGGAGGUUGUCCAAAGCGCCCAGAAGCUGGACAAGCGGAUCCAAGGCUUGGAGCUGAGAAUCUCAACCCUCCAGAUGGUUCUNUCACAGAAGAAUGCGGAGGUGUCAAGACUUCAUGAGUCCAUCUCUGCCUUGGAGGCUGAAAAAGCAUCCUGGAAGUCCAUGGUGGAGAACCUGAGAAAGGAUCAUGAAGACCAGCUGGAGAAACUACGGGAUGAGGCCUUACAGGAGAAGAUUCAGACCUUGAUGCUUGAGGAGCAGAAGAAAUGGGAAGCUGAUGCCAGAGAUGCUCUCCAGAUGCAGCGGGAAGUCUUGGAGGAGCAAAAGCGGAUGGAUCUCCAGAAAGCCCUGGAGAAAGAACGGAAGGUCAGCCUUGAGUUGCUGGCUGAAAACGCCAACCUCUGCAAGAGGAUCCAGGAGCUGGAGANCAAGGCCGAGUCGUUUCAGGGUGAGAAGGUGGCAGCUAUGGAAGAACUCUGGGUUCAGCUGGAGAAAGAAAAGGCUGAAGCCCUGAGGAAGUUGCAGGAUGAACUGGAGAAGGAAUCUCAGCAGAACAUUGACUGGGCACAACAGUCCCUGGCCAAGGAGGUCAUCAUGGCUUGCCAGCAACUCCAGGACCUCCUGCCCAAGAAGGCUGGCGUGCCCACCCNUGUCUGGCUGCACAGGAACCCGGAAAUCCCAUCCACCGCUCAUGUGCUCCAAGCCUUGCAAAACGUGAGCAAGGAAAUUCGGUGCUACCUCCAGGCGUUAAAGCAGGAGACAGAACAGCAGAGGCAGAACGUCCUUCAGCUCCAGAAGGAAAAGGAGAGAGAACUGAUGGAGCAGCAAGAAGAGCUUCGCUUGGAGAACCAGGUGGCUCUUGAGGCUCUGAAGGAGCAUCUUGUACAGGAGCACAUGAAGGAUAUUGUCAACCUGCAGCGCACCUGGGUGAAAGAAACCAAAGUCUUGCACCCACGCCUUCAGGACCAGGGUGCUGCGUUGCAGCCGUUGCAAAGAAGCNUCCCCCGCCGGAGAGAAAAGGCAGCCUGCCAGCCGGCUGAAGAAUUUAAGGAGGAUUUGAAUGUGGAACUGGAGAAGUGCUUGUCCAGAAACAAACCUAUGGACAUCCCCAUGAACUUCAACAUCCCAGAAGCAGAAAUCAGACGGUUCUCCACGGGCCGGAGUGAAUAUCUCCUACCUUGCUCUACCCACUCUUCACCGAAUGCCACCAGUUUCUCCAGCCCCUCAAAGCUGCUGUCCAGCCUACAGAACCGAAUCCGAGCGGUGCGGACGGAGAAUGCCAAGUUCUGCAGGACCAACCUAGAUAGUGGCAUCACCCCACGAGAGGAUUUGGCCGACAGGUGCACAAGUAAAAGGUACUUGAGUUCAGAGCUCUCCUCGUCUCAGCCCACAGGGGAAGCAGCUGGGUGUAGAACUGCCAGGAAGGAGAAGCCACAGUGAGNAAGAAGGAGAACCUUCACCCAGGAAUGGUGCUAUGAGCAGGCUACAAUCCCAGGGAAAGGAUUACCGCACCUUGAAGAACACAGAUUUCGGUCACCUUGUUUUGUCCAUGUUUUUCCUCAGCACCUACGCGGAGAGUACGGCAUGGAUCCUAAAUGCCUUUUUCAGCUCGGUGCUCUUAACAGACCUUGAAACUUCUGGGCUGAGGUUCUCGUUGCUUCACUGUUUGUCUUUUUAAGCAACUAAAUGGUGUGGAAGCUCUUCAGCUUCCACACCUACCAAGGCCACUGUCAGUAUCACCCGUUAAGCCUCACAGCUCUGCAAAUGACCCACUCCUGGUUGACUGCAUGGGCCCCUCUAUGCAGUUUUCUUGGCAGAGAUAUAGAAGUGGUUUGCCAUUACCUAUUUCCAGGGAGAGACUAGUCCAGCAUUCUGUUUCACACGGUGGCCCAUCAAUUGCUUCUGGGCAUCUCAAGCAGAAUAAAAAGGCAAACCCUUCACCUGCA